This 676-nucleotide ribosomal RNA is filed under the name uncultured bacterium. RNAcentral describes it as "bacterial SSU rRNA". It matches the Rfam family "Bacterial small subunit ribosomal RNA", at positions 301 to 979 of the family's 1533-position model. The record is from RNAcentral.
UGAUCCCCCACACUGGCACUGAGAUACGGGCCAGACUCCUACGGGAGGCAGCAGUAGGGAAUAUUGGGCAAUGGACGGAAGUCUGACCCAGCCACGCCGCGUGCAGGAGGAAGGCGCUCUGCGUUGUAAACUGCUUUAGCAGGGGAAGAAAAGACUCAUGCGUGAGGAAUUGACGGUACCCUGAGAAUAAGCACCGGCUAACUACGUGCCAGCAGCCGCGGUAAUACGUAGGGUGCAAGCGUUGUCCGGAUUUAUUGGGUUUAAAGGGUGCGUAGGCGGUCUAUUAAGUCAGUGUUUAAAUUUUGCAGCUUAACUGUAGGUAUGGCAUUGAUACUGGUGGACUUGAAUAUCAUGGAGGUAGCUAGAAUUUAUGGUGUAGCGGUGAAAUGCAUAGAUACCAUAAGGAACACCGAUAGCGGAGGCAGGUUGCCACGUGAUGAUUGACGCUGAGGCACGAAAGCGUGGGGAUCAAACAGGAUUAGAUACCCUGGUAGUCCACGCUGUAAACGAUGAUUACUAGAUGCUGGCCGGAUGCGGUCAGUGUUCAAGCGAAAGCGAUAAGUAAUCCACCUGGGGAGUACGUUCGCAAGAAUGAAACUCAAAGGAAUUGACGGGGUCCGCACAAGCGGUGGAGCAUGUGGUUUAAUUCGAUGAUACGCGAGGAACCUUACCUGGC